This 267-nucleotide ribosomal RNA is filed under the name uncultured bacterium. RNAcentral's name for it is "partial 16S ribosomal RNA". It matches the Rfam family "Bacterial small subunit ribosomal RNA", at positions 524 to 787 of the family's 1533-position model. The record is from RNAcentral.
UACGGAGGGGACGAGCGUUAAUCGGAAUUACUGGGCGUAAAGCGCGCGUAGGUGGUUCAGCAAGUUGGAUGUGAAAGCCCUGGGCUCAACCUGGGAACUGCAUCCAAAACUACUGAGCUAGAGUACGGUAGAGGGUAGUGGAAUUUCCUGUGUAGCGGUGAAAUGCGUAGAUAUAGGAAGGAACACCAGUGGCGAAGGCGACUACCUGGACUGAUACUGACACUGAGGUGCGAAAGCGUGGGGAGCAAACAGGAUUAGAACGUACGC